GGGUUCAUGUGAACCAAGUUUCUGCCCUUCUGGCGGAAACCAGGUUCGGCCGCCGAAGGGAGUUUCGGCCGCCGAACCCCCUUUGUGGAGGCAGCAUUCGGCUGCCGAAGAUGCCCCCGAAAAGAGACUUUCGUCUCUGUCUGGGACUUUCGGCCGCCGAAGGUGCCGCCGAAAGUGCCCUGUUCAGCCAUUUCAUGCAUAUCUCUAUGUGAUAUUUUCAGGAUGUUUUAGGGGGUUUUUGGGGAGUAGUUUAGAGUUAUGUUCAAGUAUGUUUGGUCCCUCAUUUGAGUCCACCUGUGUAGGUUCGGACCCGAGGAACCGAGGACCCCAGCAGUGAGUUCAGCUGCUUCGGUGUUGUCAGAGUCAGCCAGAGGUGAGUGGAACUAAACUCAAUCUUUUAAAUUAAAUGGUUUAUCAUGUUUCAUGCAUCAUGAUUAUGCAAUAGGAUGAUUGCAUUAGUUUUCACGAAUAUGCCGCAUUGCAUAAAUGGUUGUUGUUGUGGGUGAAUGUCGGAUGACCCAGUUAGUCCAUGACAGGAAGACCAGGCCCUAUGCUACAGGCCUGGCACAGAGUAAGAAAGACCAGGCCCCAUUCUACAGGCCUGGCACAGAGUAAGGAAAGACCAGGAUCCCAUCCUAUGGUCUAGCACGGUUACGGGACUCGAAGACCAGGAGCUCAGAGGAGGCCCUGGGAAAAUGGUAAGUAAAGUAUGUUCUGACAGGAAAGACCAGGACCCCAUUCUACAGGCCUGGCACAGAGUUAACUUGGACUAAUUGGUGACAAGUUCACCCAACCCUUAUGUGAAUUGUUUGUGUUAUGAUGCAUUUCAUAGAGCAUAGUGUUAAUGUGUUUUAAUAGUUCAGCUCACUGGGCUUUUAGCUCACCCCUCUCCCUUUACCCCCAG
This 904-nucleotide long non-coding RNA is filed under the name Manihot esculenta (cassava). Its description in RNAcentral is "long non-coding RNA (MESC_LNC002756)". Lineage: Eukaryota; Viridiplantae; Streptophyta; Magnoliopsida; Malpighiales; Euphorbiaceae. The record is from RNAcentral.